This 497-nucleotide ribosomal RNA is filed under the name uncultured bacterium. RNAcentral's name for it is "partial 16S ribosomal RNA". It matches the Rfam family "Bacterial small subunit ribosomal RNA", at positions 28 to 507 of the family's 1533-position model. The record is from RNAcentral.
GAUGAACGCUGGCGGCGUGCCUAAUACAUGCAAGUCGAGCGAACAGACGAGGAGCUUGCUCCUCUGACGUUAGCGGCGGACGGGUGAGUAACACGUGGAUAACCUACCUAUAAGACUGGGAUAACUUCGGGAAACCGGAGCUAAUACCGGAUAAUAUCUUGAACCGCAUGGUUCAAUAGUGAAAGACGGUUUUGCUGUCACUUAUAGAUGGAUCCGCGCCGCAUUAGCUAGUUGGUAAGGUAACGGCUUACCAAGGCAACGAUGCGUAGCCGACCUGAGAGGGUGAUCGGCCACACUGGAACUGAGACACGGUCCAGACUCCUACGGGAGGCAGCAGUAGGGAAUCGUCCGCAAUGGGCGAAAGCCUGACGGAGCAACGCCGCGUGAGUGAUGAAGGUCUUCGGAUCGUAAAACUCUGUUAUUAGGGAAGAACAAAUGUGUAAGUAACUAUGCACGUCUUGACGGUACCUAAUCAGAAAGCCACGGCUAACUACGUG